RNAcentral lists this transfer RNA (73 nucleotides) under Planctomycetota bacterium. RNAcentral's name for it is "tRNA-Gly". It matches the Rfam family "tRNA". From Rfam's summary of the family: Transfer RNA (tRNA) molecules are approximately 80 nucleotides in length. RNAcentral also lists the same sequence under 1 other name. Lineage: Bacteria; Pseudomonadati; Planctomycetota. The record is from RNAcentral.
GCGUCGGAAGCUCAAUCGGAUGAGCGGCGGUCUUCCAAACCGCGGGUUGCGGGUUCGAAUCCCGUCCGGCGCA